This 468-nucleotide ribosomal RNA is filed under the name uncultured bacterium. RNAcentral describes it as "partial 16S ribosomal RNA". It matches the Rfam family "Bacterial small subunit ribosomal RNA", at positions 28 to 507 of the family's 1533-position model. The record is from RNAcentral.
GACGAACGCUGGCGGUGUGCUUAACACAUGCAAGUCGAACGGUAAGGCCCUUUCGGGGGUACACGAGUGGCGCACGGGUGAGUAACACGUGAGUAACCUGCCCUCAUCUCUGGGAUAACAGUCGGAAACGGUUGCUAAUACUGGAUAUGAGCUUGCAAGGCAUCUUGUGGGUUGGAAAGAUUUUUUUUGGUUGGGGAUGGACUCGCGGCCUAUCAGCUUGUUGGUGAGGUAGUGGCUCACCAAGGCUUCGACGGGUAGCCGGCCUGAGAGGGCGACCGGCCACAUUGGGACUGAGAUACGGCCCAAACUCCUACGGGAGGCAGCAGUGGGGAAUAUUGCACAAUGGACGGAAGUCUGAUGCAGCAACGCCGCGUGCGGGAUGACGGCCUUCGGGUUGUAAACCGCUUUCAAUUGUGACGAAGCUUUUUUGUGACGGUAGCAGUAGAAGAAGCACCGGCUAACUACGUG